Molecule: unclassified non-coding RNA, 253 nt
Filed under: uncultured Hymenobacteraceae bacterium
Lineage: Bacteria; Pseudomonadati; Bacteroidota; Cytophagia; Cytophagales; Hymenobacteraceae
Description: contains 16S-23S intergenic spacer region
Rfam family: Bacterial small subunit ribosomal RNA
Source: RNAcentral
UACGGAGGGUGCAAGCGUUGUCCGGAUUUAUUGGGUUUAAAGGGUGCGUAGGCGGCCCGUUAAGUCAGCGGUGAAAUCCCAGGGCUCAACCCUGGAACUGCCGUUGAUACUGGCGGGAUUGUGUUAGGUCGAGGGGGGCGGGACUGGUGGUGUAGCGGUGAAAUGCAUAGAUACCACCAAGAACCCCGAUUGCGAAGGCAGCUCGCUGGGCCGAAACUGACGCUGAGGCACGAAAGCGUGGGGAGCGAACAGG